GGUUAAGCGACUAAGCGUACACGGUGGAUGCCCUGGCAGUCAGAGGCGAUGAAGGACGUGCUAAUCUGCGAAAAGCGUCGGUAAGGUGAUAUGAACCGUUAUAACCGGCGAUGUCCGAAUGGGGAAACCCAGUGCAAUUCGUUGCACUAUCGUUAACUGAAUACAUAGGUUAACGAGGCGAACCGGGGAACUGAAACAUCUAAGUACCCCGAGGAAAAGAAAUCAACCGAGAUUCCCCCAGUAGCGGCGAGCGAACGGGGAGCAGCCCAGAGUCUGAAUCAGCUUGUGUGUUAGUGGAACGGUCUGGAAAGUCCGACGGUACAGGGUGAUAGUCCCGUACACCAAAAUGCACAGGCUGUGAACUCGAAGAGUAGGGCGGGACACGUGGUAUCCUGUCUGAAUAUGGGGGGACCAUCCUCCAAGGCUAAAUACUCCUGACUGACCGAUAGUGAACCAGUACCGUGAGGGAAAGGCGAAAAGAACCCCGGCGAGGGGAGUGAAAAAGAACCUGAAACCGUGUACGUACAAGCAGUGGGAGCACCUUCGGGUGUGACUGCGUACCUUUUGUAUAAUGGGUCAGCGACUUAUAUUCUGUAGCAAGGUUAACCGUAUAGGGGAGCCGCAGGGAAACCGAGUCUUAACUGGGCGUUAAGUUGCAGGGUAUAGACCCGAAACCCGGUGAUCUAGCCAUGGGCAGGUUGAAGGUUGGGUAACACUAACUGGAGGACCGAACCGACUAAUGUUGAAAAAUUAGCGGAUGACUUGUGGCUGGGGGUGAAAGGCCAAUCAAACCGGGAGAUAGCUGGUUCUCCCCGAAAGCUAUUUAGGUAGCGCCUCGUGAAUUCAUCUUCGGGGGUAGAGCACUGUUUCGGCUAGGGGGUCAUCCCGACUUACCAACCCGAUGCAAACUACGAAUACCGAAGAAUGUUAUCACGGGAGACACACGGCGGGUGCUAACGUCCGUCGUGAAGAGGGAAACAACCCAGACCGCCAGCUAAGGUCCCAAAGUCAUGGUUAAGUGGGAAACGAUGUGGGAAGGCACAGACAGCCAGGAUGUUGGCUUAGAAGCAGCCAUCAUUUAAAGAAAGCGUAAUAGCUCACUGGUCGAGUCGGCCUGCGCGGAAGAUGUAACGGGGCUAAACCAUGCACCGAAGCUGCGGCAGCGACACUAUGUGUUGUUGGGUAGGGGAGCGUUCUGUAAGCCUGCGAAGGUGACCUGUGAGGGUUGCUGGAGGUAUCAGAAGUGCGAAUGCUGACAUAAGUAACGAUAAAGCGGGUGAAAAGCCCGCUCGCCGGAAGACCAAGGGUUCCUGUCCAACGUUAAUCGGGGCAGGGUGAGUCGACCCCUAAGGCGAGGCCGAAAGGCGUAGUCGAUGGGAAACAGGUUAAUAUUCCUGUACUUGGUGUUACUGCGAAGGGGGGACGGAGAAGGCUAUGUUAGCCGGGCGACGGUUGUCCCGGUUUAAGCAUGUAGGCUGGUUAUCCAGGCAAAUCCGGAUAAUCAAGGCUGAGGUGUGAUGACGAGGCACUACGGUGCUGAAGUAACAAAUGCCCUGCUUCCAGGAAAAGCCUCUAAGCAUCAGGUAACAUCAAAUCGUACCCCAAACCGACACAGGUGGUCAGGUAGAGAAUACCAAGGCGCUUGAGAGAACUCGGGUGAAGGAACUAGGCAAAAUGGUGCCGUAACUUCGGGAGAAGGCACGCUGGUGUGUAGGUGAAGUCCCUGCGGAUGGAGCUGAGACCAGUCGAAGAUACCAGCUGGCUGCAACUGUUUAUUAAAAACACAGCACUGUGCAAACACGAAAGUGGACGUAUACGGUGUGACGCCUGCCCGGUGCCGGAAGGUUAAUUGAUGGGGUUAUCCGUAAGGAGAAGCUCUUGAUCGAAGCCCCGGUAAACGGCGGCCGUAACUAUAACGGUCCUAAGGUAGCGAAAUUCCUUGUCGGGUAAGUUCCGACCUGCACGAAUGGCGUAAUGAUGGCCAGGCUGUCUCCACCCGAGACUCAGUGAAAUUGAACUCGCUGUGAAGAUGCAGUGUACCCGCGGCAAGACGGAAAGACCCCGUGAACCUUUACUAUAGCUUGACACUGAACAUUGAGCCUUGAUGUGUAGGAUAGGUGGGAGGCUUUGAAGCGUGGACGCCAGUCUGCGUGGAGCCAACCUUUGAAAUACCACCCUUUAAUGUUUGAUGUUCUAACGUUGGCCCCUGACCGGGGUUGCGGACAGUGUCUGGUGGGUAGUUUGACUGGGGCGGUCUCCUCCCAAAGCGUAACGGAGGAGCACGAAGGUUAGCUAAUCCUGGUCGGACAUCAGGAGGUUAGUGCAAUGGCAUAAGCUAGCUUGACUGCGAGCGUGACGGCGCGAGCAGGUGCGAAAGCAGGUCAUAGUGAUCCGGUGGUUCUGAAUGGAAGGGCCAUCGCUCAACGGAUAAAAGGUACUCCGGGGAUAACAGGCUGAUACCGCCCAAGAGUUCAUAUCGACGGCGGUGUUUGGCACCUCGAUGUCGGCUCAUCACAUCCUGGGGCUGAAGUAGGUCCCAAGGGUAUGGCUGUUCGCCAUUUAAAGUGGUACGCGAGCUGGGUUUAGAACGUCGUGAGACAGUUCGGUCCCUAUCUGCCGUGGGCGCUGGAGAAUUGAGGGGGCUGCUCCUAGUACGAGAGGACCGGAGUGGACGCAUCACUGGUGUUCGGGUUGUCAUGCCAAUGGCACUGCCCGGUAGCUAAAUGCGGAAGAGAUAAGUGCUGAAAGCAUCUAAGCACGAAACUUGCCCCGAGAUGAGUUCUCCCUGAGACUUUAAGUCUCCUGAAGGAACGUUAAAGACGAUGACGUUGAUAGGCCGGGUGUGUAAGCGCAGCGAUGCGUUGAGCUAACCGGUACUAAUGAACCGUGAGGCUUAACCUU
This 2901-nucleotide ribosomal RNA is filed under the name Klebsiella pneumoniae. Its description in RNAcentral is "23S ribosomal RNA". It matches the Rfam family "Bacterial large subunit ribosomal RNA". The record is from RNAcentral. Lineage: Bacteria; Pseudomonadati; Pseudomonadota; Gammaproteobacteria; Enterobacterales; Enterobacteriaceae.